This 253-nucleotide ribosomal RNA is filed under the name uncultured bacterium. Its description in RNAcentral is "partial 16S ribosomal RNA". It matches the Rfam family "Bacterial small subunit ribosomal RNA", at positions 524 to 776 of the family's 1533-position model. The record is from RNAcentral.
UACGGAGGGGGCUAGCGUUGUUCGGAAUUACUGGGCGUAAAGCGCACGUAGGCGGACGAGAAAGUCAGAGGUGAAAUCCCGGGGCUCAACCCUGGAACUGCCUUUGAAACUCCUUGUCUUGAGGUCGAGAGAGGUGAGUGGAAUUCCGAGUGUAGAGGUGAAAUUCGUAGAUAUUCGGAGGAACACCAGUGGCGAAGGCGGCUCACUGGCUCGACACUGACGCUGAGGUGCGAAAGCGUGGGGAGCAAACAGG